Molecule: ribosomal RNA, 253 nt
Filed under: uncultured bacterium
Lineage: Bacteria
Description: partial 16S ribosomal RNA
Rfam family: Bacterial small subunit ribosomal RNA
Source: RNAcentral
UACAGAGGUGUCAAGCGUUGUUCGGAUUCAUUGGGCGUAAAGGGUGCGUAGGCGGCGCGGUAAGUCGGGUGUGAAAUCUUGGAGCUUAACUCCGAAACUGCAUUCGAUACUGCCGUGCUUGAGGACUGGAGAGGAGACUGGAAUUUACGGUGUAGCGGUGAAAUGCGUAGAUAUCGUAAGGAAGACCAGUGGCGAAGGCGGGUCUCUGGACAGUUCCUGACGCUGAGGCACGAAGGCCAGGGGAGCAAACGGG